UACGAAGGGGGCUAGCGUUGUUCGGAAUUACUGGGCGUAAAGCGCAUGCAGGCGGAUCGCUAAGUCAGGGGUGAAAGCCCGAGGCUCAACCUCGGAACUGCCUUUGAUACUGGCGAUCUUGAGUCCGGGAGAGGUGAGUGGAACUCCGAGUGUAGAGGUGAAAUUCGUAGAUAUUCGGAAGAACACCAGUGGCGAAGGCGGCUCACUGGCCCGAUAUUGACGCUGAGGAGCGAAAGCGUGGGGAGCGAACAGG
RNAcentral lists this ribosomal RNA (253 nucleotides) under uncultured bacterium. RNAcentral's name for it is "partial 16S ribosomal RNA". It matches the Rfam family "Bacterial small subunit ribosomal RNA", at positions 524 to 776 of the family's 1533-position model. The record is from RNAcentral.